CUUUAGGGAAGCUUCGGUCAACCACUUGGUGUUACACUGAAGUGGACUUGAGGGAAGGUCAAUGAUUGGAGAUCCUUUUAGAACCCGGUUACUAUUCUAGGACAGGUUGAACCAACUAAACUUCAGUGGGGAGGGUACUUACCUAUGGAACUCAUGCAAGCCUCAAAACCUAGGAAUGAUGGUUGUAUGACUUGCUUGUGCUUGUUAUUUAUUUAACCUCAUAACAUCAUAACAUCAUGACAUCAUAACAUUGUACUAACUAUUUCAAGGACUUAGGGAUUUAACUU
This 287-nucleotide long non-coding RNA is filed under the name Lathyrus oleraceus (garden pea). RNAcentral describes it as "Pisum sativum (pea) long non-coding RNA (PSAT_LNC016504)". Lineage: Eukaryota; Viridiplantae; Streptophyta; Magnoliopsida; Fabales; Fabaceae. The record is from RNAcentral.